Molecule: ribosomal RNA, 838 nt
Filed under: uncultured bacterium
Lineage: Bacteria
Description: bacterial SSU rRNA
Rfam family: Bacterial small subunit ribosomal RNA
Source: RNAcentral
UCGAGCGAGCUUGCCUAGAUGAAUUUGGUGCUUGCACCAGAUGAAACUAGAUACAAGCGAGCGGCGGACGGGUGAGUAACACGGGGGUAACCUGCCCAAGAGACUGGGAUAACACCUGGAAACAGAUGCUAAUACCGGAUAACAACACUAGACGCAUGUCUAGAGUUUAAAAGAUGGUUCUGCUAUCACUCUUGGAUGGACCUGCGGUGCAUUAGCUAGUUGGUAAGGUAACGGCUUACCAAGGCAAUGAUGCAUAGCCGAGUUGAGAGACUGAUCGGCCACAUUGGGACUGAGACACGGCCCAAACUCCUACGGGAGGCAGCAGUAGGGAAUCUUCCACAAUGGACGCAAGUCUGAUGGAGCAACGCCGCGUGAGUGAAGAAGGGUUUCGGCUCGUAAAGCUCUGUUGGUAGUGAAGAAAGAUAGAGGUAGUAACUGGCCUUUAUUUGACGGUAAUUACUUAGAAAGUCACGGCUAACUACGUGCCAGCAGCCGCGGUAAUACGUAGGUGGCAAGCGUUGUCCGGAUUUAUUGGGCGUAAAGCGAGUGCAGGCGGUUCAAUAAGUCUGAUGUGAAAGCCUUCGGCUCAACCGGAGAAUUGCAUCAGAAACUGUUGAACUUGAGUGCAGAAGAGGAGAGUGGAACUCCAUGUGUAGCGGUGGAAUGCGUAGAUAUAUGGAAGAACACCAGUGGCGAAGGCGGCUCUCUGGUCUGCAACUGACGCUGAGGCUCGAAAGCAUGGGUAGCGAACUGGAUUAGAUACCCUGGUAGUCCAUGCCGUANACGAUGAGUGCUAAGUGUUGGGAGGUUUCCGCCUCUCAGUGCUGCAGCUAACGCA